RNAcentral lists this long non-coding RNA (749 nucleotides) under Bos taurus (domestic cattle). RNAcentral's name for it is "long non-coding RNA NONBTAT026294". The record is from RNAcentral. Lineage: Eukaryota; Metazoa; Chordata; Mammalia; Artiodactyla; Bovidae.
AUGAAUUAGUAAUAAUAAAGGAAACCUUAUUAAAGGUAGAUCUCAACAGAAUUGGGCCAAAUAUGUUCUAAAUAUUUGGAACUAAUAUCUUUUAAUUUAAAAAUUAAGGUCGUAGCUUCCAAUUUGUAGCAGACUUGGAGUUUUCUGUCUUCAUUGUAUGUUGCUGAAGGUGAGGAUGAGGGUACAGACUAGAAUUUUUUUAGAAAUAGCAAUUUUAGGGAAAUUUGGCUAGCUCUGAUCUGCUGGAAGCUUAACAUUUCUUGGUAGAGAACGUUGCUUUUGUUGAAUUGUAUAGGUGUAAAGGGAAUUUAAAAAGGAAAUGUGCUUUAGGCAAGAAUCAUAAGAUGCCCUUAUCGUUGAUGGCUUUUUUUCUGCUAGUAGUAAACCUCAGCUCUUCUGCCUGGUAACACACAGCCCAAAGUACAAGAUUAUUUUGUCAGUGGGUUUUUAAUCGUUGUUUAGUUUUGUUUUGCUAACCUUUUAAUCAUUGUUUAGUUUUGUUUUGCUAACCCAAUCUAUCUGUGGAACACUGACUCUGCUCUCUAAGGAGAACAAAGUUAGAAAUCUAAAAUAAUUUAGAAAUGAGUUUAAAAUGUGAAGUCAGGAGUUAAAGUCAUAUAAAUCGAAGUAGUGUACGAGAAACAAGCUCCUUCCAUCAUGCCUGUCUACCAUUUCCUCAGGUAUGACUUGAUUUGCAAGAUCCUCUUGUUUUCUUCUCUUUUGAGGCCUGUCUUCCUUUCCUAGUAUGU